Long non-coding RNA from Dromaius novaehollandiae (emu), 3015 nucleotides. RefSeq lists it as uncharacterized. The transcript is spliced from 3 exons. NCBI's taxonomy places the organism in Eukaryota, Metazoa, Chordata, Aves, Casuariiformes, Dromaiidae. The record is from RefSeq and is a predicted model, not a curated record.
AAAGAAAUUCCACACUGGAAUUUCAGCAGCCAAAGAAUUAAGAAGUAUCACCAGUCUGUGCCAUUCAGUUGCUAGGCAAAAUACAUUUGGUCUGAUUUCAUGACAUCAGUUUUAUUCCAGUCUGAAUUUGCUGGUGUUGGUGGAGAGUUGUGUCAGAAUGAACGCAGCCUCACUGAAUGGACAGUCUUGUUCAUUUUUCACAUAGCAUUUAAGUUCCCCAAUUCAAAAACCCAAACUGCAGCUCACUUACUGAAUCAGCAGAAGAAGAGUAUAAAUGAGGUAUAGGUUAGUCUGUCAUACUUGGGCAUUUUGGUUAGACAUUUAACUUAAUCUGUAUAUGCCUAAUAAAGGGUUCAUGUUCUUACUGCCUCUGAUAAGCUCAGCAGGUGCCUCAGCUACUUCAUUCCUGCCUUGUCUGGCUAUGGUGACUUGUUCUCCAACACAUAAUUUUGCUCCUUUGCGUCUUCCUUUGCUGCGUUCGUCAUUGCUAUGCAUCUUUAUUACAAGAAAAAAAUAUUAAAAAAUGCAGGUGUUGCUGGAUGGAUACACAGUGCCUGAUUUUCUGAGGGGCUGUGAGCCUGCAAUGCUUAUAGAUUUCCGUAGGAAUUGAGCAGAAUGGGACACAUUUGAAAAUCAGACCCGUGUGUAAUAUUUCUGUAAUUACAGUUUCGUGCAGCUGUAGUUCCUGUUAACAGCAAAACAUCCCAGGUUACUGUAUAUUGCUAUCCCAAAUAGCCAGCGCCUCGCUGAGCAAGGCUGGCAGGGUAUAACCAGGACAAUAUGAUUCCUAUGUGUCUUUAUCAAUUUUGUAGUUUUACUUUUUUUUGCUAGACUAUGUGGAUGGCAAAUUUCAAGGACUUUUCCUUUUCAACUGUUGAGGUUUUGAAGGCAAAAGAAAUUGUAUCUUUCCUGAUCUUCUCCACCAGAAUUUCAACAUGUAUUUUCUCGUGCACUGAUAAGUCCUCAGGCACCUCUCCUGAUCACCAUGACCUUUCAAAGAUAAUCAAGAGUGGCUUUGCAAUGACAUCAGCCAGCUUCCUCAGCACUUGUGGGUGCAUCCCAUCAGGUUCCAUGGGACUGUGUGUAUCCAGUUUGUUUAAGUGUUCCCUAGCCUGAUUCUCUUCCUCUGAGGGUAUGACAUACAGCAGAGAUCCUCUCCUCCUUGGCUCCUCAGUCACCUAUUGAAGUGAGGAAGUUGUCAUCAAUGCACAAAUCAAGUUAUCAUCAUCACUAGGACCUCCGGGUGGCUUGUGAGUGAUCCAGAAGCCUGUGGGCAGAGAAGACAAGGCUACAGCUUCUGUACUGUGCAGUGCUUCCCAGUGGUCAUAUUGGAUGCCUUGGCUGUUAAUAGCUGUUAUAAUCAAGAGGAGCACAUUAUUUUGGCUGCUGUAAAUUAUGUUGGGGAACACAUGGUGAAAAAUGUGCCCCUUCUUCCUUAUCCAAAUUGAUCUCACUUCAGAGAGAGAACGUGUUCCAACUGUGGCAUUUUAUUCAACCUUUUCUUUAGCUAUUUUAGGUAACAUCUCAAAGUGUUGCCUCCCAGUCUUUUUUUCACAAAGGUGUAAACUUGCAUUUGGCUGUAGCUUUCUUUUUAAACCAAUACUUUAAACAAAUCUAGUUCUGGAGCUGCAUAAAUUUGUCUGCAUAUCUGACCUGACCCCUGUGCUAUUUAGUACUCAGCUCAUUUUUGAGUCUUCUGCAAAUGUUGUUGUCAGUGAUUUAAUAUUUUUCUUCACCUCAUUGGUUAAUCCAGUAGUACUGGGCUGAGAUCAGGCUGGAACUGCUGAAUCAUUUGGUGUUGAUUUGAGGAUUUAGCAGUUAAAUAGAUUAAAGCCUGGUUCAUAUGGGCACCAUCAAUGUUGUAUAACACUCAUUUCUUUCUGUACUAGACUGCUUCACAGGAUGAAAUCAAAUUCCGUCGAGAAGUUAUAUUAUUUUAUCAAUACAGUUACAUUCUUUGAGCCAACUUGCAAUCUCAUGAAAAGGGAUUGUUUUUUUUAAGACCAUGCUAAGCAAGAUUUCCCUGGUGCUAUGUUAGCUUUCGAGAAUUCUUUACAAAUUAAAUUCUAUAUUAGUAUUUCAGGAUUUCCCCUUGGAAAUUUAAGGAGCUGGUAGUUUCCUGAAGUUGCCACCAUAAGAUGUGACCACUGCUUCUUUCCUGGUUUAAAACUGCAAAAGUUUACCAAGUAAAAAACCCCCCAUAUUCUGAACCAUGAACGGCAGUUUAACAAAUAAUAUAUUGCACUAAAGCUAACUGAUAAGGAAUAUUUGUGUUUGAUCUUGGUAAAUAAUACAGACUUCCUUCUUACUUUCUUUGACUUUAUUGGUCACAGUCUUUUUCAAUGAUACAUUUAUAUUCCUGUAUCAGAGCUCUCCAUUUCCUACCUGCUAGUUUGUAAUCAUUGUUGCAAUGAUUUCAGUGAAGCUACUGCAGUUUAGAGCAGAUGAAGACUGAUCCUAUGUCUCAUCCCAUUGCUAGUCCCAACAUCUGAGGAGUUCAGGCUGUGCACGGGGUAACGAAGAAGCUUUCCCAAUAAAGGCCACCUCUCUGUGGUCACAUCUGUGGCCCAAAUGCUUUGGAAGAACUGGUAACUGCUGCAUUUUGUUAAGGACAUGCAACCAAAAUAAUAAUCGGAUCAACAGAUCCCUUUUUGUCAAAUGAUUAUGGAGCUGCAUUAUGUGAUUUGGCAUGAUUUCCUCCAAAAUCUCUGCAUUUCGAACCAGCUUGUGAUUUUACUCUGCACCAUUAACACCGCUGUAUUACAUGGGAGUAUAUUUGACAUGGCAAAUACUGUGGAAUAUGGAUUAUGUUAUCAGGAAGUAAAUACAAAUUUCUCACGUUGGCCUUGACUCAGUUGGUGGUAAUCAGGGAAUUGUUUGUUCUUAAGCUACAAGGGAGGAUUGGAUUCUUAAAAACUGCACAGGAAAAAAUGCUUUUAGGGUGAUUUCUCUACAAUGAAAACAUGACAGUCUUAAAGCUAAAUGAUAAUCUUUAGGAGUCUGUUCCACGUGAAG